GAUGAACGCUAGCUACAGGCUUAACACAUGCAAGUCGAACGGAAUCCUUCGGGAUUUAGUGGCGGACGGGUGAGUAACACGUGAGAAUCUGCACUCAGGAUGGGGACAACAGCGGGAAACUGCUGCUAAUACCCAAUGUUCCGAAAGGUAAAAGAUUUAUGGCCUGAGAAUGAGCUCGCGGCCGAUUAGUUAGUUGGUGGGGUAAUGGCCUACCAAGACGGCGAUCGGUAGCUGGUCUGAGAGGAUGAGCAGCCACACUGGGACUGAGACACGGCCCAGACUCCUACGGGAGGCAGCAGUGGGGAAUUUUCCGCAAUGGGCGCAAGCCUGACGGAGCAAGACCGCGUGGGGGAGGAAGGCUCUUGGGUUGUAAACCCCUUUUCUCAAGGAAGAACAAAAUGACGGUACUUGAGGAAUCAGCCUCGGCUAACUCCGUGCCAGCAGCCGCCGUAA
RNAcentral lists this ribosomal RNA (453 nucleotides) under uncultured bacterium. RNAcentral's name for it is "partial 16S ribosomal RNA". It matches the Rfam family "Bacterial small subunit ribosomal RNA", at positions 28 to 523 of the family's 1533-position model. The record is from RNAcentral.